GACAAAAGGAAAAACAUCUUCAUGAAAGAAGAAGAAAGUAUUGCGGUCUCAUCCAAAGCCGUCUGGUUUGCCUCCGACGAAUUGACGCAUCAACAGUUUGAUAGAGUUUGGAAAGCACGCGAGGCCACAGUCAGACCUUCUGCCACCCUUCCAGAAGAAGCCCUGACACCCGAUGGAGACAGUCCGUAGCCUCUUGCUAAUUAUCUGUGAAGACCUAGAUCAUCCAUGUGACACUCACACAGCAUCGCCUGCGAG
Paramisgurnus dabryanus is the source of this 255-nucleotide non-coding RNA. The record is from RefSeq and is a predicted model, not a curated record. NCBI's taxonomy places the organism in Eukaryota, Metazoa, Chordata, Actinopteri, Cypriniformes, Cobitidae.